This 253-nucleotide ribosomal RNA is filed under the name uncultured bacterium. RNAcentral's name for it is "partial 16S ribosomal RNA". It matches the Rfam family "Bacterial small subunit ribosomal RNA", at positions 524 to 776 of the family's 1533-position model. The record is from RNAcentral.
UACGUAGGGAGCAAGCGUUGUUCGGAUUUACUGGGCGUAAAGGGCGCGUAGGCGGCAUAUUAAGUCAUCUGUGAAAUCUCCGAGCUUAACUCGGAACUGUCAGCUGAUACUGAUGUGCUAGAGUGCGGAAGGGGCAAUCGGAAUUCUUGGUGUAGCGGUGAAAUGCGUAGAUAUCAAGAGGAACACCUGAGGUGAAGACGGGUUGCUGGGCCGACACUGACGCUGAGACGCGAAAGCGUGGGGAGCGAACCGG